Molecule: transfer RNA, 76 nt
Filed under: Fluviibacter phosphoraccumulans
Lineage: Bacteria; Pseudomonadati; Pseudomonadota; Betaproteobacteria; Rhodocyclales; Fluviibacteraceae
Description: tRNA-Thr
Rfam family: tRNA
About the family: Transfer RNA (tRNA) molecules are approximately 80 nucleotides in length. Their secondary structure includes four short double-helical elements and three loops (D, anti-codon, and T loops). Further hydrogen bonds mediate the characteristic L-shaped molecular structure. tRNAs have two regions of fundamental functional importance: the anti-codon, which is responsible for specific mRNA codon recognition, and the 3' end, to which the tRNAs corresponding amino acid is attached (by aminoacyl-tRNA synthetases). tRNAs cope with the degeneracy of the genetic code in two manners: having more than one tRNA (with a specific anti-codon) for a particular amino acid; and 'wobble' base-pairing, i.e. permitting non-standard base-pairing at the 3rd anti-codon position.
Source: RNAcentral
GCCGACUUAGCUCAUCUGGGAGAGCAGCGCCCUUGUAACGCGCAGGUGGUCCGUUCAAGUCGGACAGUCGGCACCA